This 495-nucleotide ribosomal RNA is filed under the name uncultured bacterium. RNAcentral's name for it is "bacterial SSU rRNA". It matches the Rfam family "Bacterial small subunit ribosomal RNA", at positions 28 to 518 of the family's 1533-position model. The record is from RNAcentral.
GACGAACGCUGGCGGCGUGCUUAACACAUGCAAGUCGAGCGGUAAGGCCCUUUCGGGGGUACACGAGCGGCGAACGGGUGAGUAACACGUGGGUGACCUGCCCUCAGCUCUGGGAUAAGCCUGGGAAACCGGGUCUAAUACUGGAUAUGACUCCAUGACGCAUGUUGUGGGGUGGGAAGCCUUGUGCGGCUGAGGAUGGGCCCGCGGCCUAUCAGCUUGUUGGUGGGGUGANGGCCUACCAAGGCGACGACGGGUAGCCGGCCUGAGAGGGCGACCGGCCACACUGGGACUGAGACACGGCCCAGACUCCUACGGGAGGCAGCAGUGGGGAAUAUUGCGCAAUGGGCGAAAGCCUGAUCCAGCGACGCCGCGUGGAUGAAGAAGGCCUGCGGGUUGUAAAGCCCUCUCAGUGGGGAAGAAAGCCUCGACCUAACACGUCGGGGUCUUGACGUAACCCAUAGAAGAAGCACCGGCUAACUCUGUGCCAGCCGCCGC